RNAcentral lists this ribosomal RNA (253 nucleotides) under uncultured bacterium. RNAcentral's name for it is "partial 16S ribosomal RNA". It matches the Rfam family "Bacterial small subunit ribosomal RNA", at positions 524 to 776 of the family's 1533-position model. The record is from RNAcentral.
UACGGAGGGGGCUAGCGUUGUUCGGAAUUACUGGGCGUAAAGCGCACGUAGGCGGCUUUGUAAGUUAGAGGUGAAAGCCCGGAGCUCAACUCCGGAACUGCCUUUAAGACUGCAUCGCUUGAACGUCGGAGAGGUAAGUGGAAUUCCGAGCGUAGAGGUGAAAUUCGUAGAUAUUCGGAAGAACACCAGUGGCGAAGGCGACUUACUGGACGACUGUUGACGCUGAGGUGCGAAAGCGUGGGGAGCAAACAGG